This 634-nucleotide ribosomal RNA is filed under the name uncultured soil bacterium. RNAcentral's name for it is "bacterial SSU rRNA". It matches the Rfam family "Bacterial small subunit ribosomal RNA", at positions 55 to 733 of the family's 1533-position model. The record is from RNAcentral.
AUGCAAGUCGAGCGGGCGUAGCAAUACGUCAGCGGCAGACGGGUGAGUAACGCGUGGGAACGUACCUUUUGGUUCGGAACAACCCAGGGAAACUUGGGCUAAUACCGGAUAAGCCCUUACGGGGAAAGAUUUAUCGCCGAAAGAUCGGCCCGCGUCUGAUUAGCUAGUUGGUGAGGUAAUGGCUCACCAAGGCGACGAUCAGUAGCUGGUCUGAGAGGAUGAUCAGCCACAUUGGGACUGAGACACGGCCCAAACUCCUACGGGAGGCAGCAGUGGGGAAUAUUGGACAAUGGGCGCAAGCCUGAUCCAGCCAUGCCGCGUGAGUGAUGAAGGCCCUAGGGUUGUAAAGCUCUUUUGUGCGGGAAGAUAAUGACGGUACCGCAAGAAUAAGCCCCGGCUAACUUCGUGCCAGCAGCCGCGGUAAUACGAAGGGGGCUAGCGUUGCUCGGAAUCACUGGGCGUAAAGGGUGCGUAGGCGGGUCUUUAAGUCAGGGGUGAAAUCCUGGAGCUCAACUCCAGAACUGCCUUUGAUACUGAAGAUCUUGAGUUCGGGAGAGGUGAGUGGAACUGCGAGUGUAGAGGUGAAAUUCGUAGAUAUUCGCAAGAACACCAGUGGCGAAGGCGGCUCACUGGC